RNAcentral lists this ribosomal RNA (832 nucleotides) under uncultured archaeon. RNAcentral describes it as "bacterial SSU rRNA". It matches the Rfam family "Archaeal small subunit ribosomal RNA", at positions 29 to 882 of the family's 1478-position model. The record is from RNAcentral.
GCUAUUGGAGUUCGAUUAAGACAUGCGAGUCUGAGCAUUAGCUCGGCGUACCGCUCAGUAACACGUGGGUAACCUGCCCUACUGUUCGGAAUAACCUCGGGAAACUGAGAACAAUGCCGAAUAGUCCACCACGCCUGGAACGGUGGGUGGAUGAAGGUAGGAUGGGCCUGCGGCGUAUCAGGUUGUAGGGGGUGUAAUGGACCUCCUAGCCAUCGACGCGUACGGGUGUUGGGAGACAUAGCCCGGAGAUGGAUUCUGAGACACGAAUCCAGGCCCUACGGGGCGCAGCAGUUACGAAAACUUGGCAAUGCGGGAAACCGUGACCAGGGAACUCCAAGUGAGUCUCUUUUAGGGGCUCUUUUCAUGACUCUAAAACGGUCUUGGAAUAAGGGGUGGGUAAGGACGGUGCCAGCCGCCGCGGUAAUACCGGCGCCUCAAGUGGUCGUCGCUUUUAUUGGGCCUAAAACGUCCGUAGCCGGUUUGGUACAUUCGUGGGUAAAUCAACUCGCUCAACGAGUUGAAUUCUGCGAGGACGGCCAGACUAGGGACCGGGAGAGGUGUGGGGAACUCUCAGGGUAGGGGUAAAAUCCUGUCAUCCUGAGAGGACCACCUGUUGCGAAGGCGCCACACUAGAACGGAUCCGACGGUCAGGGACGAAGCCUAGGGGCACGAACCGGAUUAGAUACCCGGGUAGUCCUAGGUGUAAACGCUGUGGACUUGGUGUUGGGGAAGACUAGAGCUUUCCCAGUGCCGUAGCGAAGGUGUUGAGUCCACUGCCUGGGGAGUACGGUCGCAAGGCUGAAACUUAAAGGAAUUGGCGGGGGAGCACUGC